Long non-coding RNA from Nerophis ophidion (straightnose pipefish), 421 nucleotides. RefSeq lists it as uncharacterized. NCBI's taxonomy places the organism in Eukaryota, Metazoa, Chordata, Actinopteri, Syngnathiformes, Syngnathidae. The transcript has 2 exons. The record is from RefSeq and is a predicted model, not a curated record.
GUUGUGCCGAAUUAUGCACCCCCCCCGUAAAAUGCACCCCCUGUCGGGAGCGCGCUUACGUCACUCGGUUGCGUCACCCGUCUCGAAAAGUAGCUAAACUCGGCUAAAAUCGCCUCUUUCGGCAUAAAAAUGUACAUAACAAGGUGAAUAAUCCAAGUUGUCUUUACUUUGGAUAUAUUAAUGGAUGGAUUAAUUGUGAUUCUUUAAUGAUUUCGCCGCCAUUGCCUUUAAUGAUUUCGUCGUCAUUCAAUCGCCUCUUUCGGCAGAAAAAUGUACAUAACAAGAGACAUCAAGGAGAACGAAUGUUUGCUGCUUCACUCGACGGGAUCCAAUACAUGUAUUUUAAAAAUAUGACAUUUUCUUUAACUGUAAGAAGCUCAUGGGUGGAUGGAUGAAUACAUUAAUAAAUGAAUGCAUCUGA